GCUGCAGUGGUGGAAUUGGUAGACACGUGCCCUUGAGGGGGGUAUGCCGCGAGGCGUGGAGGUUCAAGUCCUCUUUGCAGCACCA
This 85-nucleotide transfer RNA is filed under the name Bacteriovorax sp. MedPE-SWde. RNAcentral's name for it is "tRNA-Leu". It matches the Rfam family "tRNA". From Rfam's summary of the family: Transfer RNA (tRNA) molecules are approximately 80 nucleotides in length. Their secondary structure includes four short double-helical elements and three loops (D, anti-codon, and T loops). Further hydrogen bonds mediate the characteristic L-shaped molecular structure. tRNAs have two regions of fundamental functional importance: the anti-codon, which is responsible for specific mRNA codon recognition, and the 3' end, to which the tRNAs corresponding amino acid is attached (by aminoacyl-tRNA synthetases). tRNAs cope with the degeneracy of the genetic code in two manners: having more than one tRNA (with a specific anti-codon) for a particular amino acid; and 'wobble' base-pairing, i.e. permitting non-standard base-pairing at the 3rd anti-codon position. Lineage: Bacteria; Pseudomonadati; Bdellovibrionota; Bacteriovoracia; Bacteriovoracales; Bacteriovoracaceae. The record is from RNAcentral.